This 559-nucleotide ribosomal RNA is filed under the name Sebacina sp. Seb14L. Its description in RNAcentral is "eukaryotic LSU rRNA". It matches the Rfam family "Eukaryotic large subunit ribosomal RNA", at positions 90 to 631 of the family's 3401-position model. Lineage: Eukaryota; Fungi; Basidiomycota; Agaricomycetes; Sebacinales; Sebacinaceae. The record is from RNAcentral.
CGAGUGAAGAGGGAAAAGCUCAAAUUUUGAAUCUGGUGUCUUUGACUCCCGAGUUGUAAUCUAGAGAAGUGUUUUCCGCGUCGGACCGUGCACAAGUUCCCUGGAACGGGGCGUCAUAGAGGGUGAGAAUCCCGUAUAUGGCACGGACCGCCGAUGCUCUGUGAUACACUCUCAACGAGUCGAGUUGUUUGGGAAUGCAGCUCAAAAUGGGUGGUAAAUUCCAUCUAAAGCUAAAUAUUGGCGAGAGACCGAUAGCGAACGAGUACCGUGAGGGAAAGAUGAAAAGCACUUUGGAAAGAGAGUGAAACAGUACGUGAAAUUGUUGAAAGGGAAGCGUUUGAAGUCAGUCGUAUCUGGCGGGAUUCAGCUUGGCUUUUGCCUGGUGUACUUCCCGUCCGAUGGGUCAGCAUCAAUUUCGACCGAGGGAAAAAGACACGCGGAAUGUGGCUGUCUUCGGGCAGUGUUAUAGCCCCGUGUUGUAUGCCUCGGUUGGGAUUGAGGAACGCAGCGCGCCUAAGGCCAGGGCUCCCGCCUUUGACACGCGCUUAGGAUGCUGGCA